Molecule: ribosomal RNA, 515 nt
Filed under: uncultured bacterium
Lineage: Bacteria
Description: partial 16S ribosomal RNA
Rfam family: Bacterial small subunit ribosomal RNA
Source: RNAcentral
GACGAACGCUGGCGGCGUGCCUAAUACAUGCAAGUCGAGCGAUGAUUAAAGAUAGCUUGCUAUUUUUAUGAAGAGCGGCGAACGGGUGAGUAACGCGUGGGAAAUCUGCCGAGUAGCGGGGGACAACGUUUGGAAACGAACGCUAAUACCGCAUAACAAUGAGAAUCGCAUGAUUCUUAUUUGAAAGAAGCAAUUGCUUCACUACUUGAUGAUCCCGCGUUGUAUUAGCUAGUUGGUAGUGUAAAGGACUACCAAGGCGAUGAUACAUAGCCGACCUGAGAGGGUGAUCGGCCACACUGGGACUGAGACACGGCCCAGACUCCUACGGGAGGCAGCAGUAGGGAAUCUUCGGCAAUGGGGGCAACCCUGACCGAGCAACGCCGCGUGAGUGAAGAAGGUUUUCGGAUCGUAAAACUCUGUUGUUAGAGAAGAACGUUAAGUAGAGUGGAAAAUUACUUAAGUGACGGUAUCUAACCAGAAAGGAACGGCUAACUACGUGCCAGCCGCCGCGGUAA